Zea mays is the source of this 1370-nucleotide RNA transcript. It is a transcript of the gene named MTERF pseudogene, with no coding region annotated. The record is from RefSeq and is marked validated. Lineage: Eukaryota; Viridiplantae; Streptophyta; Magnoliopsida; Poales; Poaceae. The transcript has a single exon.
GCGAACCGCCCGUCCCCUGCCCCCCAGCCUCCGAGCUUCAUGACCGCAGCGCCACCUCCGAGCUCCGUGAUCGUAGCUCGCCCGCUCGCCCACCACAAUCGCAACUGCCGAGUCAAUUCUCACGCCACCUAUAACGUCAUGAGAGGGCACGGGCCUAUGACUCUCGGCGAUGAUUCAGGUGGCGGUUGUUGGGAUUGCGCUCCUCUCCGCAAUCGUCGCCUCGUGCGCCACGCCGCCUCACUCUACUUCGUCAUCGACACCGUGGGGAUUGGGUUUGACUUCGUGCGCCGCUACAUCUCCUUCCGUGUGUGUGCCCCUGCCCUCGACGAGCCCGCCGCAUCGCUCUCCUCUAUCGCUGCGGGUGGUGCUGGGGGAGCGGAUUCGGGCAGGUCGCCCACAUGGCAUGGACCUCGACUCCAGUCAGCAGGUUAGGCUUCCAUCUCAACUCUGGUGACCUUUGCACCGACAAAACUUUUUGAGUGUUUUGAUAGAUCUCGUGUUGUUUUCUUGGUGGCAGGUUCAGUCGUCGUGCUCGCCUUCCUCUCGGGCCUCGGUCUCUCUGAUGCUGACAUCACUGCUGUCGUCGCCUAUGACCCCAAGCUUCUCUUCUCCGAGGUCAAGUGCACGCUGGUCUCGCGUCUCGCGGAGCUCUAGGAGCUUGGUCUCUCUUCGACUCAGAUCGCCCACCUCGUACUCGUCGACCCCUCGUGCUUCCGCCGGCCCAUCGUCGCCUCCAAGCUAUAGUAUUACGUCCCCCUCUUCGGUUCCUUUGAGUACCUGCUCCAAGCUCUCAGGAACAAGACCUACCUUCUCAGCUCCGACCUCGAACGCAUUGUUAAGCGCAACGUCGCGUUCCUAGUGGAGUGCAGGCUAGAUGCUUGUGAUAUUGCCAAGCUAUCCAUAGUUGUCCCUAGGCCGAUCACCACCGACCCAGAUCGCGUUCGGGCAGUGGUGGAGCGAGUUGAAGCUAUCGAUGUGCCUCGUGGCGUUGGGAUGUUUAGGCACACAUUGCUGGCUGUUGUAUUGCUUAACGAGGAAAAGAUCAAAGCUAAGGUAGACUUUUUGAAGGCAACAUUUUGGUGGUCGGAUGUUGAGUGAUGGAAUAAGUCUUGAGCAUUUGUGGGGUCUCUAGUGGAGGACUGUGGUUUCUUGUUGCAGCCCCUUUUUGACUACGAGGACAACGUGCAUCUCAGGGACAACAACAGCAACAUUUCCUUUAGCAUCUAGAGGACAGUAGGGGCAUCAGCAUCUCCUUUAGCAUCUAGAAGACAGCAGGAGCCUUUUGACUGUCCUUCUUUAGUAUCUAGAGGACAACAGGGACAACAACAUCUCUAGUGCCAAGGUCUAUUCUGAUUUGUGUUUUGUAGCCA